AUUGAACGCUGGCGGAAUGCUUUACACAUGCAAGUCGAGCGGCAGCGCGGGGCAACCUGGCGGCGAGCGGCGAACGGGUGAGUAAUGCAUCGGAACGUACCCAGUCGUGGGGGAUAACUGUCCGAAAGGACAGCUAAUACCGCAUACGUCCUGAGGGAGAAAGCGGGGGAUCGCAAGACCUCGCGCGAUUGGAGCGGCCGAUGCCGGAUUAGCUAGUUGGUAGGGUAAAGGCCUACCAAGGCGACGAUCCGUAGCUGGUCUGAGAGGACGACCAGCCACACUGGAACUGAGACACGGUCCAGACUCCUACAGGAGGCAGCAGU
RNAcentral lists this ribosomal RNA (323 nucleotides) under uncultured bacterium. RNAcentral's name for it is "bacterial SSU rRNA". It matches the Rfam family "Bacterial small subunit ribosomal RNA", at positions 29 to 355 of the family's 1533-position model. The record is from RNAcentral.